CAGGGUCUUUGAGGCAUGGACCCGCCCCCCCAACCCAAAGUUGAAAGGGAAAGAUACUAUGGUGCAGCCUCCUCUCAGAGAGCCUAUCUUUGAGUGCAAAAACCCUGCUUCUAAAUGCCAGAAGUCUUCAUCAAGUCCAGGCAAACCCAGAGAUACCCCUGACCUCUAGCCUGACCCUACUUGAAGAUUACCUGAAGACAGGAGCAUGUUGUCCUUUGAGAGGCUCCACCCAGC
This is a long non-coding RNA of Mastomys coucha (southern multimammate mouse), 234 nucleotides long. RefSeq lists it as uncharacterized. The record is from RefSeq and is a predicted model, not a curated record. NCBI's taxonomy places the organism in Eukaryota, Metazoa, Chordata, Mammalia, Rodentia, Muridae. The transcript has 4 exons.